AACGAACGCUGGCGGCAUGCCUAACACAUGCAAGUCGAACGAGACCUUCGGGUUUGGUGGCUCCCCGGGUGGUAAAGGGUUGGGACCUGCGCGUGUGAUCUGAAUAACUCCCCGGGAUAGGUUCUAAUACCGGGUAAUAUUUUUGGACAGAAGAUUUGUCGCCGUUGGGUGGGCCGGAGUUGUUUUGGGUAGUUGGUAGGGUAAAAGCCUACCAAGGCGAGGAUCCAUAGCGGGUCUGAGAGGAUGAUCAGCCACACUGGGACUGAGCCACGGCCCAGACUGGUGCGGGAGGCGGGAGUGGGGAAUAAAGGGGUAGGGGCGAAAGCCUGAUACAGCAAUGCCGGGUGGACGAUGUAGGGGUUAGGGUUGUAAAGCUCUCUUAACCGGGCUGAUAAUGACGGUACCGGGAGAAUAAGCACCGGCUAACUACGUG
Molecule: ribosomal RNA, 433 nt
Filed under: uncultured bacterium
Lineage: Bacteria
Description: partial 16S ribosomal RNA
Rfam family: Bacterial small subunit ribosomal RNA
Source: RNAcentral